Molecule: transfer RNA, 65 nt
Filed under: Armillaria solidipes
Lineage: Eukaryota; Fungi; Basidiomycota; Agaricomycetes; Agaricales; Physalacriaceae
Description: tRNA-OTHER
Source: RNAcentral
GGGUCGAUGGCGUAGCUGGUUACCGCUCCUGCAAAGUGUCCUCAGUUCGAACCUGGGUCGACUCA